GGCCUGCGGAAGGAUCAUUAUCAAAACAGCGGACUUCGGUCCUUGCUGCACCCUUGUCUUUUGCGUACCGUAUGUUUCCUCGGCGGGCUUGCCUGCCGGUUGGACAUUAUCAAACCUUUUUGUAGUUGCAAUCAGCGUCAGAAAAUAAACAAUAAUUACAACUUUCAACAACGGAUCUCUUGGUUCUGGCAUCGAUGAAGAACGCAGCGAAAUGCGAAAAGUAGUGUGAAUUGCAGAAUUCAGUGAAUCAUCGAAUCUUUGAACGCACAUUGCGCCCCUUGGUAUUCCAUGGGGCAUGCCUGUUCGAGCGUCAUUUUGUACCCUCAAGCACUGCUUGGUGUUGGGCGUUUGUCCUGCAAAGGACUCGCCUGAAAGCGAUUGGCGGCCAACGUACUGGUGGUAGAGCGCAGCACAAUUUGCGUCUCUCCCUUCUACGUCGGCGUCCAUGAAGCCUUUUUUCAACGUUUGACCUCGGAUCAGGUAGGGAUACCCGCUGAACUUAAGCAUAUCAAGGCUG
RNAcentral lists this ribosomal RNA (517 nucleotides) under Leptosphaeria sp. Sigrf22. Its description in RNAcentral is "eukaryotic LSU rRNA". The stretch from base 160 to 313 matches the Rfam family "5.8S ribosomal RNA". The record is from RNAcentral. Lineage: Eukaryota; Fungi; Ascomycota; Dothideomycetes; Pleosporales; Leptosphaeriaceae.